RNAcentral lists this unclassified non-coding RNA (336 nucleotides) under soil metagenome. RNAcentral's name for it is "partial contains 5.8S ribosomal RNA, internal transcribed spacer 2, and large subunit ribosomal RNA". The stretch from base 1 to 120 matches the Rfam family "5.8S ribosomal RNA", at positions 35 to 154 of the family's 154-position model. The record is from RNAcentral.
GAUGAAGAACGCAGCGAAAUGCGAUAAGUAAUGUGAAUUGCAGAAUUCAGUGAAUCAUCGAAUCUUUGAACGCACAUUGCGCCCGCCAGUAUUCUGGCGGGCAUGCCUGUUCGAGCGUCAUUUCAACCAUCAAGCCCCCGGCUUGUGUUGGGGACCUGCGGCUGCCGCAGGCCCUGAAAACCAGUGGCGGGCUCGCUAGUCACUCCGAGCGUAGUAAUACAUCUCGCUCAGGGCGUGCUGCGGGUUCCGGCCGUUAAAAAAGCCUUAUUUACCCAAGGUUGACCUCGGAUCAGGUAGGAAGGCCCGCUGAACUUAAGCAUAUCAAUAAGCGGAGGA